This 460-nucleotide ribosomal RNA is filed under the name uncultured bacterium. RNAcentral describes it as "partial 16S ribosomal RNA". It matches the Rfam family "Bacterial small subunit ribosomal RNA", at positions 338 to 795 of the family's 1533-position model. The record is from RNAcentral.
CCUACGGGUGGCAGCAGUGAGGAAUAUUUGUCAAUGGCCGGAAGGCUGAACCAGCCAUGCCGCGUGAAGGUCAGUGCCCUAUGGGCGUUAAACUUCUUUUGUGCGGGAGCAAUAAUGGUCACGUUUGGCCAGACGAGAGUACCGUACGAAUAAGCAUCGGCUAACUCCGUGCCAGCAUCCGCGGUAAUACGGGGGAUGCAAGCGUUAACCGGAUUUAUUGGGUUUAAAGGGUGCGUAGGCUGGAAGGGAAGUCAGCGGUGAAAUGCCCCCGCUCAACGGGGUGAAGUGCCAUUGAUACUGCCGUGCUGGAAUGCGGAUGCCGUGAGAGGAAUGUGUGGUGUAGCGGUGAAAUGAAUAGAUAUCACACAGAACACCGAUUGCGAAGGCAUGUCACGAAUCCGCGAUUGACGCUGAUGCACGAAAGCGUGGGUAUCAAACAGGAUUAGAUACCCGGGUAGUC